AUAAUAAAUAAUAAUUUUAUUGUGUCUCUAGAGCCUUCGAUUCUGAUUCCAAAUCCCUCACACCUCCACUAUAUUUUACCCCCUCUCCCCUCCCCUUCACCUUCACCUUCACACUCCUCGAUUCCAUUUCUUCUCCAGGUCUUUUAAUUUACGCUCGCGUUUCGUUACCAACAUCGUUCGAUCAAUUCAUAAUGACUCAUAUCCUUUCUCAGAAAAAUCUUUAUUUCUUCUAUUAUUUGCUAUAAUUUUGAUCAAUUGAAGAUUAAGAAAAUAAUAAUUGAGAAAAAUUAGGGUUUUGUGAAUUUGAAUUUGUUUUUGUUUUUGAACUUAACUGAAGCUCACGUGGUAAUCAAAGAGAAAGAGAUCGUGAAAGAGCUCAAGCUAGAGCUAAUCAGAAAUCUAAACAAUCUAAGAAUGAUGGGUUAACACCUGAACAACGGAGAGAAAGGGAUGCAAAAGCAUUGCAAGAGAAAGCAGCAAGGAAAGCUGGACAACGUGCUGGAGGAAGCAAUAUGGGGGGUGGAGGCAAUAAUAAUAAUUAGGAAGUAUAGUUAAAUUGAAGGUGUAUCUAGGAAUUAAGGAAGGGAAGGGAAGAAGGAUUGUAAUUGUAGUGUAAUGGUUAUUUUGAUUUGACGAUGAUAUGGGUUUAUGGUUUUCAAAUCAUGUGCUAAUUUGUGUCAAAAAAAAGUCAUGUGCUAAUUAUGUGAUUUCUGAUAAACAAAUUUAUGUGUCGUUGUUGGCUUUUCAACCUUUUACUUGUUAUCUGAUUUCGAAUGCAAUUUGUAUUCGUGUUGUAGCA
Long non-coding RNA from Medicago truncatula (barrel medic), 799 nucleotides. RefSeq lists it as uncharacterized. The transcript has 3 exons. NCBI's taxonomy places the organism in Eukaryota, Viridiplantae, Streptophyta, Magnoliopsida, Fabales, Fabaceae. The record is from RefSeq and is a predicted model, not a curated record.